AAGUUUUCAUUACAAACUAAUAAUCACUGUUACAACCAAGUACCACGUAUACCAUCUAAUAUCCACCAAUAUUUUCCCGUGAGGGUGGCAAAUCCCAAAUAUAUAAAUACCUAAAAUACAUACAAUAAAUAAAACUUAAACUAAUCUACCUUUAGUUGCAAUCUCCCGAAAAUUAAUGAACCUAGCCUUGGAUAUAAGUCAGCAUGUGUUUCCGUAGAUAUGAGCUCCAUCACCGGCUACCUUGUGUUGCAGUAAUGGUAGCAUUUAGAGGCAUAUGGGGAUCUCUGUCUAGUAAUAACCACUUGGCAUAUGCGUGACUAUUUCAUGGAUCUGGUUUCAAUAGGAAGCUUCCAUGCAUUUCACAAAGUAAUUUUUGUCUCUGCUUCAGGAGGAAAUGGCCACUUUCCAGGUAGUGUAGCUAAUGUUGCAUCAUGGACCAUGACUAUUGCUGCAAGCUCCAUUGAUGUAGUACUGCAAUCUUUUAUAUAUCUGGGAAAUUCAAAGAUCAUAAAGGUUAUAUUCAAUAUAUGCUCUUUAUAUAUUCCCAGGCAUUCCCAUACAUAAUGAAAGGUAUCGUCUUCUAUAAACAAGAAAAUUCCAAAAUACAAAUAACAAAAAAUAUCAAUAGAUAUUUAAAAGGCUUUGCACAUACUAUUUUUAGUUGUUCUAAGACACAACUUUUUCCACUUGUACUAGCUAUUACAAAAGCAAUACUCUAGACCCUUUUUUAGUUACGGGGAAGAUUGUGAUUUGUGCUAUGGAAUCAACUGCUGAUGCAAGGCAGAAAAAGGUCCAAAUCAACCCAUAGAAUCUAAGGGCAUAUACAGUUCUAGACAAAAAUUGAAGGUCCCAAUCAUCUUAAUAAUUUAUGUAUGAACAAUUACUAAAACUUAACUUAAUUGACAGGAAAAGAGUAUGUAAUAUGUUGCUCACCUGUUGCCUGUGAAAACAUCUCUAGUGAUCCCGACCUUCUUGACGCACUAGAAGCAUAUCUUUUCAAGAGUGCAAGCAAGAUUUUUCCCCCAAAGAUCACCUCAAAGUAGAGAUUAGCUUGUAAGUUACAUCUAAUCACCUCAAACAACUAAUCUAGCUGUCCAAUAAUUGCAUUCAGCAGUAUAUAUAGGUUCCAUCUAAGUAUGAAUGUUAUUUUACACCAACUAUGAGAAAGAUUGUAGAAGGGGGGGGGGGUUGAAUAAAAUCUUUCACAAAUUUAAAAGAUUCAAGAACAAUACACUAAGAACACAAUAAACAGAAAAACACCAAGUAUUAAAAAUACGGGUGGAUUGAAUGAUCCACCCGUGAGAUUUUAUAUAGAAGAAUCUGUGGAUUGUUUUACAAUUCGCACAGCUGCUGGUUCAUCACUCAAACAAGUUCUAACUCUCAGAUUUUUCUCUCAAGUAAUUUGAACAAGUUCAACUGAUGCUACUAACUCGGUUAUAUACUCCAAGUUUUACAAAGCAUUUAGCUAGAUUACAAAAUGCACUCUAACCUAAAAACAAUGCUGCACAACUUUGUCUUAUGCAUGCUUUCUGAGAUGUCUUCAUCUUUGACCAUCAUCUUGAUUUGAUCCAGAUUGCACUGCAUGAGAUAAGUAUGUUUCUGCUUCUUCUUUAUUUUCCUAAUUAGGCUUCCAUGUCUAUUUUAGUGUAAUUCGAUCCAUGUGAUUUGUCAGACUUAAGCUCUAGUCACUUUCAACUGCUCUUUGCUUCAUCAGUUGAAAGUUCUGGUUGCUUUCAACUGCUCUUGACUUUAUCAGUUGAAUGCCUGGCUCAUCAGUUGAAUGAAUUACAAACUCCAUCAGUUGAAUGCUGUUCCAGUCUCAUCAGUUGAAUUCCUCAGCAUCAUCCGUUGAACACUUUGUCUUCAGUUGAAUGCUUGAUUUUCAUCAGUUGAAACAUCAUCCAGUCUUCAUCAGUUGAACAGUUACAUCUCAUCAGUUGAAUAUCCUUCACUUAGAUAAAAUUACAUGGCAUUGGAUAUUUACAAUUAGCCAUCCUAUUCUACCCAUCCGUUGAUAAUUCCCAAAGACAAGAAAUGUAACAAUUACAACUGAAAUUUGAUAAAGAUUCUAAGUAAGACAUGUUACAAAAUGUUUAUGUUAUCAUCAAAAAUUAUUGAUUCCUAACAAUCUCCCCCAAUUUAUGACUGGAGAAGAUGCAGACAUAAAUUCUACACUUGAUGAUAACAAAACAUUAAUAAAAUAAAAUGCAGAAUUUAAAUACAAGAGUUAGAAAAGAUUACAGAUGAUUAUGCUCCUCUAGACUGAGCAGUUACUUGUUCCUAGAAGAUCUUCUUCUUCUGGACUUAAGUUUUUCUUCAAGAAUAUUAAUCUGCUUCUGAAAGAUCCUGUAGAACCAUUCUUCAUCACUAUCUUGUCUGUUGAGCUUGGAUUGGAGAGUCUUCAGAGUAUUCAAGCUAGCAACCUUGAGUUGAUCUUUAGGUCUGAAAAAUCUCCUAACACCUUGAUUGUCCCUAAAUUCCAUGACUGGAGUAGGUUCAUGAUGAAUUUUCUUUCCAGUGUAGGGAAUUUUCAGCCUUCUUUGUAGACUAGCAUCUGAGUUCCAUUCCUUCCUGAUCUCAAGGAUUCUCUUUAGUACCAUUUGCUUUGCAGGUGGUGUAAAUCCUCCAGUCCUCUUCAUAGAUCCAUAUAUUUUUGUUAGAGAACUGAAUCCCUCAGAAUUCAGAACUCUGUGAAGAGGCCAGAUGACAUCACCCUUGUUUUUGUAAGAGAAUACCAAUCUUUCAGGUAACUUUGAAGUUGCUUCUAUUCCUCUUACUUCUUGAAGAUCAUCCAGCUCCAGCUCCAACUCAGAAAUUUCUUCAAUGUUAGCAAUGAUGAGAUAGUCAUCAGGAUUUUCAGGUUCUUUUGGAGGUUUAGGAGGGUUAGCCAUCCUCUUAGCCACAGACUUGACUUUCUUCUUUGGCUUGGAAGAUUCUUGAACAAGAAAAGCUGGAAUUGGGAUAUCUUCCAAGUCAAUUGGCUCCUCCUUUGGCAUUAUUGGCUCAUCAUGGAAGUUGACAUCUGGAUGUACUACUGUGGUGUCCUUGAUUGGAGAAGAAGGCUUUGAGAUAGGCUUUUCUGGCACUUCUUCUCUUCUCUUGGCUGCCUCAGGCAUCUUAGUCUUAGAUUUGACUCUCUUUUUCUUUGGAGAAGAUUCAAGAGGCAAUCUUUUCUCAUUUAAAAGCUCAGCUGCCAACUCCUCUUCCAGCUCAAUAGCAUACCUUUCAUCAACCUCUAUUUGGUUCAAAGAGAGUUGGGAUUCAAACUCCUCUUUUUCACAUUCUCUGGCCACCUCUUCAGCUUUUGCAAAUGAGUAGUGAGGAUGGCCAGUUCCAAUAAACAGCUUCUGGCCUUCUCUGUAGAUGAUGGCAAAAUGAGCCUUUAAGGCCACAUCUGCACAAUCUUUAUAACUUUUGAUUUCUUGGCCCAAAAGCUUGUAUUCAUUUUUGUCAGGCCUGGCUAGUGGAAAGUAGAUUGAGCUUGAGUCUUUUCCAGGCCUGGAGUAACCACAAUUGUUUGGAAACAGAAUUGGCUUGAACUCAUUCAGAAAUGAUGGCUCACCCUUUUCUGUCUUGGAGGGAAUAACAAUCUCAGGUGUAAUUACCCUGAGAAUUGUGGUUGUGGUUGGAAAAGAGAUUUGAGCUGUGGUGGCUGUAGAAGAUGUAGACGAUUUCUUGCCCAGUUGAGCCACUCUCUUUGCAAUGGAGUCCAAUUCUUUCAUCCUUGCAAUCUUCUGCUUUUCCCUUUCAGUGUGGAAAGGGGGUAGAANNNNNNNNNNNNNNNNNNNNNNNNNNNNNNNNNNNNNNNNNNNNNNNNNNNNNNNNNNNNNNNNNNNNNNNNNNNNNNNNNNNNNNNNNNNNNNNNNNNNNNNNNNNNNNNNNNNNNNNNNNNNNNNNNNNNNNNNNNNNNNNNNNNNNNNNNNNNNNNNNNNNNNNNNNNNNNNNNNNNNNNNNNNNNNNNNNNNNNNNNNNNNNNNNNNNNNNNNNNNNNNNNNNNNNNNNNNNNNNNNNNNNNNNNNNNNNNNNNNNNNNNNNNNNNNNNNNNNNNNNNNNNNNNNNNNNNNNNNNNNNNNNNNNNNNNNNNNNNNNNNNNNNNNNNNNNNNNNNNNNNNNNNNNNNNNNNNNNNNNNNNNNNNNNNNNNNNNNNNNNNNNNNNNNNNNNNNNNNNNNNNNNNNNNNNNNNNNNNNNNNNNNNNNNNNNNNNNNNNNNNNNNNNNNNNNNNNNNNNNNNNNNNNNNNNNNNNNNNNNNNNNNNNNNNNNNNNNNNNNNNNNNNNNNNNNNNNNNNNNNNNNNNNNNNNNNNNNNNNNNNNNNNNNNNNNNNNNNNNNNNNNNNNNNNNNNNNNNNNNNNNNNNNNNNNNNNNNNNNNNNNNNNNNNNNNNNNNNNNNNNNNNNNNNNNNNNNNNNNNNNNNNNNNNNNNNNNNNNNNNNNNNNNNNNNNNNNNNNNNNNNNNNNNNNNNNNNNNNNNNNNNNNNNNNNNNNNNNNNNNNNNNNNNNAAACUAGCAACCUUGAGUUGAACUUUAGGUCUGAAAAAUCUCCUAACACCUUGAUUGUCCCUAAAUUCCAUGACUGGAGUAGGUUCAUGGUGAAUUUUCUUUCCAGUGUAGGGAAUUUUCAGCCUUCUUUGUAGACUAGCAUCUGAGUUCCAUUCCUUCCUGAUCUCAAGGAUUCUCUUUAGUACCAUUUGCUUUGCAGGUGGUGUAAAUCCUCCAGUCCUCUUCAUAGAUCCAUAUAUUUUUGUUAGAGAACUGAAUCCCUCAGAAUCCAGAACUCUGUGAAGAGGCCAGAUGACAUCACCCUUGUUUUUGUAAGAGAAUACCAAUCUUUCAGGUAACUUUGAAGUUGCUUCUAUUCCUCUUACUUCUUGAAGAUCAUCCAGCUCCAGAUCCAACUCAGAAAUUUCUUCAAUGUUAGCAAUGAUGAGAUAGUCAUCAGGGUUCUCAGGUUCUUUUUGGAGGUUUGGGAGGGUUAGCCAUCCUCUUAGCCACAGACUUGACUUUCUUCUUUGGCUUGGAAGAUUCUUGGACAAGAAAUGCUGGAAUUGGAAUAUCUUCCAGGUCAAUUGGCUCCUCCUUUGGCAUUAUUGGCUCAUCAUGGAAGUUGACAUCUGGAUGUACCACUGUGGUGUCCUUGAUUGGAGAAGAAGGCUUUGAGAUAGGCUUUUCUGGCACUUCUUCUCUUCUCUUGGCUGCCUCAGGCAUCUUAGUUUUAGAUUUGACUCUCUUUUUCUUUGGAGAAGAUUCAAGAGGCAAUCUUUUCUCAUUUAAAAGCUCAGCUGCCAACUCCUCUUCCAGCUCAAUAGCAUACCUUUCAUCAACCUCUAUUUGGUUCAAGGAGAGUUGGGAUUCAAACUCCUCUUUUUCACAUUCUCUGGCCACCUCUUCAGCUUUUGCAAAUGAGUAGUGAGGAUGGCCAGUUCCAAUAAACAGCUUCUGGCCUUCUCUAUAGAUGAUGGCAAAAUGAGCCUUUAAGGCCACAUCUGCACAGUCUUUAUAACUUUUGAUUUCUUGGCCCAAAAGCUUGUAUUCAUUUUUGUCAGGCCUGGCUAGUGGAAAGUAGAUUGAGCUUGAGUCUUUCCCAGGCUUGGAGUAACCACAAUUGUUUGGAAACAGAAUGGGCUUGAAUUCAUUCACAAUUGAUGGCUCACCCUUUUCUGUCUUGGAAGGGAUAACAAUCUCAGGUGUGAUUACCCUGAGAAUUGUGGUUGUGGUUGGAAAAGAGAUUUGAGCUGUGGUGGCUGUAGAAGAUGUAGAUGAUUUCUUGCCCAAUUGAGCCACUCUCUUUGCAAUGGAGUCCAAUUCUUUCAUCCUUUCAAUCUUUUGCUUUUCCCUUUCAGUGUGGAAAGGAGGAGGAAUUUGGCUGAUCAAUUCUGCAGGAGUUGGUAAUUCUUUCUCCCCCUUUUUGUUAGCAGCAAGUGUAGGGGAUGGACUGGGAAGUGAAACACCAGAGGCAAGAAGAAGAUGUUGAAGCAGUCCAGUCUGAAUUCUUUGAUGCUGCAACAUCUCAUCCAUUCUAGAGUUUAAGGUGUAGACAUUUCCUUCCAGAGCUUCCACUUGCUUCUCCAAUUGUAGUUGUUUUUGCUCAGAUGCAGAAAGAGCUGAUUUGACCUGAGCUGGAAGCUUUUCAUCAAUUUGCUUGGUCAGAUCAGUCUUAACAGAGGCAAUAAGAGAAUUGAGAUACUCUAUCUCAUGCUGAAAAUGGAGAGAUUGAAACUUGUGAAGCUUGAGAUUGUCUAGUGCUUGACUGGCAAUGGUGGCAGAGAUGACUGGAGAGGAGGAUGAGCUUUCAGGUUGUGAUUGAAGAAUGGUGGAGGCUUGCCUUUCCAGCUCCAUGCUAACAACAAUUGCAUUAGCAGACUGCAUGGAGAGCCAUGAAGGUAGAGAAGUUGUAGGUUGUUCAACCAGGGAUUCCUCAAGAGCAUCAUUGAGGUCUUCAUCACUAUCAUCAUAAUGAAAAUCAUCUCCAGCAUUGGCAGGCAGAGCUGUAAAUGCCUCCUUUGCUCUAAGCAUUGAAGAUGUAGUGUGAAUCAGAUUGAGGUGCCUCUCAGCUGCUUGAUUGUCUUAUCUGGCAAAGUCUUGAAUGGAGGACAUCCCAUGAGUAAAAGUCUCAGGGUCUAGUGAAACACCAUCCAAUAUGGAUCUGUAUUCAGCUUGAAACUCUUGUUCACUAAACCCUUCAUUGACACCUGCAUUUCUCUCAAUUUCUCUCUUUUCUUGCAUCAAGGGCUCCCCUUGGCUCACCACACCACUCACCUCUCCCUCACUUACCCUUACUAAAGGGUCACUCUUAUCCUCUCCUUUUUCCUGGCUAGAAGAAAAUGCCAGACUCUCCACACCCUCUCCUUUUGCCAGCUCACUAGGCUGCCUCUCCACUCCAUAGCUCACUCCACUCAAUCCUAGAAGUGUUUGUGCUACCAUGUGAUCAACUGCUGUAGAAAGAGGUAAAUUAAUUGAAGUAGCAGCAGUUGUCAACUGAUGAGAGACAUCAGUUGAAACAUGAGUAGAGGAGGCAUUCAACUGAUGAGAGCUGUUAAGCAGAUCAGUUGAAGGACAAACACUUGUCAACUGAUGAGGGAGAUCAGUUGAAGAAAAUGAAGAAAUAGGUUUAGAGGCUGUGAUAGUUGAGUCUGUGGUGAUUGAUUUUAAAGGAAAAUCCACAGAACACACUGUCACAGAAGAAGGAAAUGGAAGAGAAAGAUCCAACAAAUCAUCAAAAUGAUGAUGAUCAAUCUCAGAUGGGGGCUUCUCCAUGAAAUCCAAAGAUGGAGAAUUUACAAGUGUGGUGUGAAUUAAUUCCACAUCCACAGAAGAGGUUGGGGAUUGUGUUUGAGUAGUAGAGAUGGUAAGAUCAUAAAUAUGGGUGAUUGGUUGAGAUGAAGAAGGGGGCUGUGACUCCACAUUUAUUGGAGUCACAUCAAUCUGACUUUGAGAAGUUAAAGGCAUAAAAUCCAGAAUGGAUGCCUGUGUGUGUGCAGAGUGCUUCAGUUUUUCACUUCUUAGCUUCUUUCUCCCAUAAGCUUUUAUUGGUGAAGAAGUGGUGUCCCUCCCCCUUUUUAACUGUGUCCCUGGUUGAGGACUAUUUUCAAUAGCAACAUCCUUUUGGGAGGAUGCUGCUAGGGAUGAGUUUAAUUCCAUAUUAACAUCUACAGUCUUUUGGGAGACUGCAGAGUGGCCAGGCUGGUCAACACACACCUCUCCAUCCUUAUUCUUAGGGCUUCUUUUAUGUUCACCCUUUCCCUCCCCCUCACAACCUCCAAUCACACUCCCCUCAGGUUUGUGUUUCUUGGAUUUUACAACAGAUGUCUUUUGGGAGGCAUCUGAGGUUGGUUUAGAAGACUUGUUUUUAGAAGGUUUUGCCACUUGUGUGGACUGUUGAUGGGCCUCUUCAACAGCCCUGAUGGCAGAAAGCAAAGAAGGUGAGGGUUGAGAAAGAGUAGUAGGAAAGCCAUGUACCUCUUUGUGCUUUCCAGCCUCCAUUGUUGGCAGGUACACCACCUCCAAGGAGGGGUAUAAAUUCAUCCUAAAGAGGUCUUUAAAGACUCUCUUUUCCUGCACAAAACUGGGAAGCUUGGCUUCCUUGUUAGUAAUAACUAGCUUAUCAUUGAGAUGAUUAGCUAGCAUCAUAAGAAAUCUGACAUAAUAAAUAUUCCUAGGUCUAUCAGUUUUAUCACCUAGUUUCUCCCCAAUUUCUUGGAUCAUCAAACCACCAAAGUUGAAAUAUUCAUUAGUCAGGUACAUGUAAAGCAUUUGUAAAAUCUGGGAAGUAAGAGCAUUGAAAUUACUAAUUUUACCAGAAAAUGCCUUAAUAAAAGCAUCACAUAAAUAACUCCAUUCUCUCCUAAGACCCCUUCUUUCUAUUUUACCUAAGGCAUCAGUUGGCAAAACAUAAUUCAUGGCAUAAAGUAAAUUAACCAACUGAUUAUCACUAGGCAAAGAUAAAACAGUAUCUUCAGGAAUCUUAAAGCAUGCUUUCAUAACAUCAGCAUUGACAGAAUGAAUUUCAUUAUUGACAGAGAAAGUUAGAGUUUCAUGCUCACUAUUAAACUCUGCAGAGGUCCACAUCUCCUCCACUAUUUCAUGGUAGAUGGUAGGAGCUUCAAGCAUAGCAUAAGAGAGCUGGCUUGACUUGAUGAACUCCAUCAUCCUGUGAUACUCCUUCUCCUCCACAGCCUUGGUAUCCACAAAUGACGCAAAGUUGUUCUUCUCAUAAAUAAACCCACUUGGUGCAGUAUACUUCUUCAUUGGUGCCAUUGCAGUUACAGAGAAAGCUUGAAGAGAAAUUAGAACUUGUUUUUGCACAGAGAGAGAAGAGAGCUUUGAGAAUUCGAAAGAGUGAGAUGAAAAGAAAUGAAAAUAAAUUAAAACACUUAAAUACUUUCUCAGAAAAUUGCUGUGAUUGGCUGAGAAAUUACCGUUGAGAAGAAAUUACUCUUAUUUAUCUCUACAAAAAUUACACACACGAUCGUGUGUAUAAAGUAGGUGAGAGACAAAAGAAAUUUCAACGGCUCAGAUCUGAUAAUACUUUCAACGGAUGAAAUAAGCGCCUCUUUAAACUUCCUAUUCAACUGAUGAAGAUCAGUUGAAGGCGUCUUCAACUGGUGUCAUCAGUUGAAUGAAAAACAACGCAAGAGGAUAUUGUUUCAAGCAUCAGUUGAAACAAUUUCACUAGUUCAUCAGUUGAAAUAUUAUAGACUUUAUCCAGAAUUAUAAUUAAUUCAAUUUUGAUAAAUCAAAAUUAAUCAAAUUCUGGCUGCCAAAUUACAGAAAAAUUCACUCUAAAUUAGGAGAAAUUUAACAUACCUAAUUUACUUACCAACCUUGUGAAUGUGGAUUCAUCAAGAGGCUUUGUGAAAAUAUCUGCAAUCUGUUCUUCACUUGGAACAAAAUGCAUUUCAACAGUACCAGCCAUCACAUGUUCUCUUAUGAAGUGGUAUUUGAUGUCAAUGUGCUUGGUUCUUGAGUGUUGUACUGGAUUUUCAGUUAUAGCAAUAGCACUGGUGUUGUCACAAAAUAUUGGGAUUUUUGAGAGAUUUAAUCCAUAAUCAAGUAAUUGAUUUCUCAUCCACAAUAAUUGUGCACAACAGCUUCCAGCUGCAAUGUACUCAGCCUCAGCUGUAGAGGUUGAUACAGAAUUUUGCUUUUUGCUAAACCAAGAAAUCAAUCUGUCACCAAGAAAUUGACAGGUGCCUGUUGUACUUUUUCUAUCAAUUUUGCAUCCUGCAAAAUCAGCAUCUGAAUAUCCAAUUAGAUCAAAUCCAGAGUCUUUAGGGUACCAAAUACCAAGAUUUGGUGUUCCCUUAAGAUAUCUGAAUAUUCUUUUUAUAGCAAUAAGAUGUGAUUCUUUAGGAUCAGAUUGAAAUCUAGCACAGAGGCAUGUAGAAAACAUAAUAUCUGGUCUACUAGCUGUCAAAUAUAAAAGAGAACCAACCAUGCCUCUAUAAUUAGAGAUGUCCACAGAUUUCUCAUUAGGACUUAACUCUAAUUUGGUGGCUGUUGGCAUGGGAGUCUUAGCUUCUUUGCAAUCCAAUAAAUCAAACUUUUUAAGUAGAUCAUAGAUGUACUUAGUUUGAUUUAUGAAUAUACCUUCCUUUACUUGUUUAACUUGUAAACCAAGAAAGUAGGUGAGCUCUCCCAUCAUGCUCAUUUCAUACUGACUUUUCAUUAGAUUAGCAAACUUCUUGCAAAGUUUCUCAUCUGUAGAACCAAAAAUUAUAUCAUCUACAUAAAUUUGAACCAGAAUAAAGGCACCAUUUACAUUUCUGUAAAAUAGUGUUUUAUCCACAGUUCCUCUGGAAAAAUGAUUAUCUAACAAGAAUUGAGACAGAGUGUCAUACCAUGCCCUUGGUGCUUGCUUUAGUCCAUAGAGUGCUUUUAAUAAAAAGUAAACAUACUCUGGAAAUUCUGGAUCUUCAAAACCAGGAGGCUGACUGACAUAUACCUCCUCUUCCAGUUCACCAUUUAGAAAAGCACUCUUGACAUCCAUUUGAUAAACUUUAAAGUUUGCAUGAGCAGCAUAGGCCAGGAAGAUUCUUAUUGCUUCCAGUCUUGCAACUGGUGCAAAGGUCUCAUCAAAAUCAAUUCCUUCAGAUUGAGAGUAUCCUUUAGCAACAAGCCUUGCCUUGUUUCUGGUGACAACUCCAUUCUCAUCCACCUUGUUUCUGAAUACCCACCUUGUUCCUACAAUUGUUCUGUUUUUAGGUUUGGGUACCAGCUUCCAUACAUUGUUUCUCUCAAAUUGAUUUAAUUCUUCUUGCAUAGCAAGAACCCAAUCAGCAUCUUUGAGAGCAUCUUCUAUGACUUUAGGUUCAUCCUGUGAAAGGAAUGCACUGUACAAACACUCAUCUUGAGUUGCUCUUCUUGUUUGUACAGAUGCAUUUGCAUCUCCAAUAAUUAGCUCAAAAGGAUGAUCCCUUGUCCACUUUCUUUGUGGUGGAAGUGAUUGUCUUGAUGAUGUGGCUUCAUUAUUGAAGUUCAGGUUUCCAUGUUGGAAAGCUCCCCCUAAAUUUGACAUCUCAUUAUUUCUAGACUGAUUGAAACUUUGAGACAUUCUUUCAACUGAUGAUCCUUGAGGUGUUUCAACUGAUCCCUCCAAUGUAGUUUCAACUGAUGCUUCAGUUGAAUUUCCAAUUGCAGUUGUUUCUUGCACCAGAGAGUCAUCAGUUGGAAUAUUAAUUCCAGGAUUAAUUCCAACAUUUUGAAUAAUGUCAUCAUCAUCAUCACUGUCAUACAGAUCACCUUCACCUUCAUUUUCAAAUCUGAGAUUAUCAUGAAAUCCUUCAUCUGAGAAUCCUUGAAUCUUCUUAUCAUCAAAAACCACAUGGAUUGAUUCCAUAACAAUGUUGGUUCUCAGAUUAUAUACUCUAAAUGAUUUUCCAUCAGAGUAUCCAACAAAAAUAGCUUCAUCUGCCUUGGCCUCAAAUUUUCCAAGAUUUUCACCUUGAUUUCUUAGAACAUAACACUUGCAUCCAAAUACAUGAAGAAAGCUAAUUGUUGGCUUCUUUCCUUUGAAGAGUUGAAAGGGAGUUAGAUUAUGAGGUUUGGUAAUUAGUGAAAUGUUUUGAGUGAAACAAGCAGUGUUCACAGCUUCAGCCCAAAAAUAGGUUGGAAGUUGAGCUUCAUUAAUCAUGGUUCUUGCAGCCUCAAUAAGAGUUCUAUUCUUCCUUUCAACAACACCAUUUUGUUGUGGAGUUCUUGGUGCAGAGAACUCAUGAAUAAUUCCCUCUUCUUCACAAAAUUCUUUCAUCACAGAGUUCUUGAAUUCUGUUCCAUUGUCACUUCUUAUCCUUCCAACUUUGACAUCUGGAUUGUUGUUUAAUGCCUUGAUAUGAUUGAUGAUGAUUUUCCCAGCUUCAUCCUUAGAAUGCAGGAAGAAAGUCCAAGUAAAUUUUGAAAAAUCAUCAACAAUCACUAAGCAAUAUUUCUUCUUUGAAAUGGACAUUAUGUUGACUGGUCCAAAUAAAUCCAUAUGCAAGAGCUGAAGGGGCUUCACAAUUGAUGAAAGAGAUUUGCUUUUGAAAGAGCUUCUCUUUUGCUUUCCUAGCUGACAAGCUCCACAAAGUCCAUCUUUGGAGAAUUCCAGCUUAGGUAGACCUCUUACCAAGUCCUUCUUUACUAACUCAUUCAAGGUUUUGAAAUUUAGAUGAGACAAUCUCUUAUGCCAUAGCCAACUGUCAUCUGAGCUUGCUUUGCUGAGAAGGCAAGUGAUAGAUUCAGACUUUACAGAAUUGAAGUCAGCUACAUACACAUUUCCUUUCCUUUGUCCAAUCAGAACCACAUUGUUGUCAUCUCCUUUGGUGACAACACAGGCUGCAGGAGUGAAAUUAACUUUGUAACCUUUGUCACAGAGCUGACUGAUGCUAAGCAAGUUGUGCUUAAGACCAGACACCAAUGCAACUUCAUCAAUGAUGACAUUCUCUUUUGCAAUCAAGCCAUAUCCCAUAGUAUAUCCUUUGCUGUCAUCUCCAAAGGUAAUGCUAGGGCCAGCUUUCUCCACAAACUUUGUGAGCAGGGAGGAAUCACCAGUCAUGUGCCUGGAGCAUCCACUAUCCAAGUACCACAAAUUCUUCUUGUGGUUUCCCUGCACACAUUUCACAAACAGAUCAAGUUGAUUUUGGUACCCAAAUUGCUUUGGGUCCAGAUUUGUUAGUCUUAGCAGCCUUUUCCACUUUCUCAACCUUUUCCUUGGAUUGAAUUGGUUCAAUCUUUGGUUUUGGUUGAGAAAUUGGAACAUCAACUCUGUUUUCAAACACAGGCCUUUGAGACAUGCAUAAAUUGUUCAUUCCAUGCAAGUUUGAAUGAAAUUGAGGCAUGUUAAAGGCAUUGAAAUAAGGAUUGAACAUAUAUGGCAUGUUAGGCUGAGAAUAAGGAUUGUGAGGCAAUAAACCAGGCAUCAUAUUCAUAGCAGAUAAAUUCAUGUGAGGAACAGAUGUCAUAGGAAUAGGCAAAGAUAAAUUAGGAGCAAUCACAGUUUUACAAUUAGCAGAUAAAUGAUUUACACUACCACACUUACUGCAGGUUUUCCUAAGAGCACUAGCAUUGGGAGUGUAAUUGGUGUGCUUGUUAACUCCUAUUUUGCCAUUUCUAUUUCCUUUCUUCUUUUUAGUCUCCUCAGAUUUAUGCUCACUAGUAUCCAACUUCUUCUUGUUCUUGUUACUGGAAUUAAGAGUGUUAUUAACACUAUCACUGGUCUCAGAAGAACUAUUCUCACCUUUAACAAAAUUCUUUUUAACAGGACCAUAUUUCUUGUUAAGCUUCUUGAGAACACUCUUGUCAACUGAUGAGUUUUUGUUCAACUGAUGACUCUCAUCAGUUGAGACUUUGCUCUUCAACUGAUGAUCAUCAUCAGUAUUCUCAUCACCUGAACUGUUCUCAGAUAUCUCAAGCACUUUCUUAUUCCUCUUCCACUCAUUCUCUACAAAGGUCUCUCUACCUUGCAUGUUGAUGAUAUUGGUGGAAACAUCCCUACCAGAUUUCCAUUUGGCAAUAAUCUCUUGUUCCUUAUCAAGCUGCUUUCUUAUGAUCUCUUCUCUUUUCAGAACAACCAAGAGAUCAUCCUUGGCUGUCUGACACUCAAUUUUCAGCUUCUCAAACUCAAUAAAUUGAGCUUCUAAGACACUGUUUCUAUCACUAAGAAAGGUGUUAGCUUCCUUAAUUCUACUAUUUUCCUUAGUGAGAGAUUUUAAAGAAACAUGCAAAUGAUACAAUUCUGUAGACAUUUCAUUAAUGGUAGCAUUGCAUUCAUCUUUAGUUAACUCAACUAGGUUUGUAGUGAAUACCUGACUACUGCUUCCAGUGUUUUCUUCUUGAUCUGUGGAGUUGGCCAUUAGAGCUAGAUUGACAAACUCCUCCUCUUCAUCAGAAUCAUCUCCAGCUGCCCAAUCAUCCUUUGUGAUGAAUGCUCUUUCCUUUUGUUUGAGAAGUUCAUAAUAUUUCUUUUUGUAGUCAAUGUUUUCACUUGACUUCUUCUCAACUUUAGGCUUUCUGCACUCAUUUGCAAAGUGACCUGCAUUCCCACAGUUGAAGCACUUGAAUUUUGAUCUGUCUACCAUGCUUCUAUCAGACUUGGGAUUGCCUUUAAAAGAUUUUGCAGAAUUAAAAUUCUUUUUGAAUUUCAGUUUGGAGAAUCUUCUUGACAGGAAGGCUAGAUGUUCAUCAAUUCCAUCACUUUCUUCACCAGAAUCAGCUACUUCUUUCUCCUUUCUUCUUCCUUUGCUUGACUCUGAGCUCUCCUCUUUGACCAACUUCUCAGUUUCUUCAACUUGAGACUUUCCCUUGUCCUUGACAGUAUCCUCCAGAGAUGCAACUAGAGCCACAGAUGAAUGCCCUUUCUUUUGGCUUUUCUCAAUCUCUUCAUCUUGCUCCAUUUCAAGCUCAUAAGUCUUUAAGGUUCCAUACAGUCUCUCUAGAGUAUAGUCUUUAAACUCUUGUGUAUUUCUGAGAGAGACUGUCAUGGGUUUCCAUUCUUUGGGAAGAGCUCUUAAGAAUUUCAAGUUUGAAUCCUUAACUUGAUAUACUCUUCCAAAGAGCUUUAGACCAUUUAACAGUUUUUGAAAUCUGUUAAAUGUAUCACUCAAACUUUCACCAGCCUUGAAAUGGAAUGACUCAUAUUGUUGAAUCAGAAGCUGCAUUUUGUUCUCUCUCACUUGCUCAUUCCCUUCACAGAUGGUCCUGAUGGUGUCCCAAACUUCUUUGGCACUUGUGCAGCUAAUAACACUAUCAAUCAUUUCUUGAUCCAAACCAUUGAACAGAAGGUUCAUGGUUUUCUUGUCCUUGUGCACUUCUUCAGUAUCUUCUUGAGAAUAUUCAUGGAUAGGUUUUGGAAUCAUCUUACCUACCAUGUCUUCACCAUCAGCUCCCAUACUUGUGCAGACCUUCAUGGGGACAUGAGGUCCUUUUUCAAUGCAGUUCACAUAGCUUUCAUCAAUGGACAACAGAUGCAGAUGCAUUCUCACUUUCCAGUGAAAAUAGUUGUCUUUGUCAAGAACAGGAAUCUUCACUCCAGCAUCCUUCUUUCCCAUCUUUCUCUAGCAGUGUUGAUCUUUUUCCCUGUUUGUUGGGAACCUCGCUCUGAUACCAAUUGUUAUUUUACACCAACUAUGAGAAAGAUUGUAAAAGGGGGGGGUUGAAUACAAUCUUUUACAAAUUUAAAAGAUUCAAGAAUAAUACACUAAGAACACAGUAAACAGAAAAACACCAAGUAUUAAAAAUACGGGUGGAUUGAAUGAUCCACCCGUGAGAUUUUAUAUAGAAGAAUCUGUGGAUUGUUUACAAUUCGCACAGCUGCUGGUUCAUCACUCAAACAAGUUCUAACUCUCAGAUUUUUCUCUCAAGUAAUUUGAACAAGUUCAACUGAUGCUACUAACUCGGUUAUAUACUCCAAGUUUUACAAAGCAUUUAGCUAGAUUACAAAAUGCACUCUAAUCUAAAAACAAUGCUGCACAACUUUGUCUUAUGCAUGCUUUCUGAGAUGUCUUCAUCUUUGACCAUCACCUUGAUUUGAUCCAGAUUGCACUGCAUGAGAUAAGUAUGUUUCUGCUUCUUCUUUAUUUUCCUAAUUAGGCUUCCAUGUCUAUUUUAGUGUAAUUCGAUCCAUGUGAUUUGUCAGACUUAAGCUCUAGUCACUUUCAACUGCUCUUUGCUUCAUCAGUUGAAAGUUCUGGUUGCUUUCAACUGCUCUUGACUUUAUCAGUUGAAUGCCUGGCUCAUCAGUUGAAUGAAUUACAAACUCCAUCAGUUGAAUGCUGUUCCAGUCUCAUCAGUUGAAUUCCUCAGCAUCAUCCGUCGAACACUUUGUCUUCAGUUGAAUGCUUGAUUUUCAUCAGUGGAACAUCAUCCAGUCUUCAUCAGUUGAACAGUUACAUCUCAUCAGUUGAAUAUCCUUCACUUAGAUAAAAUUACAUGGCAUUGGAUAUUUACAAUUAGCCAUCCUAUUCUACCCAUCCGUUGAUAAUUCCCAAAGACAAGAAAUGUAACAAUUACAACUGAAAUUUGAUAAAGAUUCUAAGUAAGACAUGUUACAAAAUGUUUAUGUUAUCAUCAAAAAUUAUUGAUUCCUAACAAUGAAUAUAACAUUAUACAUGUCAAACAAAUAAUACACUAAUGAUUGACAAAAACUAUAGUAUCAAAUAAGGUAACUAGACUUGCAUAAACUGAGCAUCAGGAAUGAUAACAUAAUUUUAAUUGAUGCACAAAUCGGAAAAAUAAAUUAGAUUCAUUAUUUCUUCCGGAGGGAACUAUGCAGUAUGUCUUGUACUACAAAAAAGAGAUUUAAUUGAAGUAAUUGUAUGUGUAUGUACGUAAUGAAUUGAACAGAGGAUACCAAUUUAAGCAGGUUCAUCACCUGCUACUAAGGCCAUAUGUGUUUUCUGCAACCAGAAUUCUCAUAUGUUGCAUAAUGAAAUUUAUCCGAAAUUGUUGAAAAUAACGGGAGUGUGUGUGUAACUAGUUUGCAGUGGCACUAUACAAAAAACCAGAAUCAAGCAAUCACACAGUAGAAUGCAGUGUGAGACCUGCUAAACCAGUUUCUUUGAAACAAGUACUACAAGAACCAAAAUACCCUGUAUAGAAAAGUCGUGCCAAUAUUGUGUUUCUCGCUGAUCAACAAUUCAAAAACUAGACGUUGCCAAAUCUUUGAAACCAAGUUGGUACCUAAAAUUUUCAGAAGUCUGCGCAUAGAAAGAACAAUAAAAAAUCAUUCAAAAGUGACAAAUUAUAUUAAUAAACAUAUAAAAAAAAUGACAGGAAUGCUGGGCAUAACUAAGAACGUCUACCACAACUUUUACUGAGCACAAAAUCAUAACCAUACUUUACAAGCUAUACCCCAAAAUCAACCAAUACCUAUCACACCCACAAAGUUAACUAUGACACAAAACUUUAUCCUUUAAAAUCAAAAUCCAGCCAACGACCAUCACUAUAUUUACUCUAAACUAUACAACUACUGCUCAAAACACGCAUAAACACAUAGAAAUUCCAUAUAUAUGAAAACUUUAUCCCCAAAAUCAAAUACAAUCACAUAGUAAAAAUCAUUCUUUUACCUCAUCAUAAGGGGGGUUGUUGUUAAAGUUGGAAGCAAGGUCAACAUCGGCAUCAAACACUUGAACGACCGGUGGGUCACUGUCGAUGGCAAUAGAUCUGAGUGAGCUCUAUAGAAAAUCAGAUGGAGAGGACAAAAGAGAGAAAAAGGGAGGAAGGGGAGAGAUCUGGGAGGGAUAUGCUCCGUUAUAUACCAAGUAAACAGAGAGGAAAAGAAAGAG
Molecule: long non-coding RNA, 17253 nt
Filed under: Daucus carota (carrot)
Lineage: Eukaryota; Viridiplantae; Streptophyta; Magnoliopsida; Apiales; Apiaceae
Description: long non-coding RNA (DCAR_LNC007469)
Source: RNAcentral